This 24-nucleotide non-coding RNA is filed under the name Drosophila melanogaster (fruit fly). The record is from RNAcentral. Lineage: Eukaryota; Metazoa; Arthropoda; Insecta; Diptera; Drosophilidae.
CACCAAGAUCAUCAACCCGUGUUA